Salvelinus fontinalis (brook trout) is the source of this 2387-nucleotide long non-coding RNA. RefSeq lists it as uncharacterized. The record is from RefSeq and is a predicted model, not a curated record. NCBI's taxonomy places the organism in Eukaryota, Metazoa, Chordata, Actinopteri, Salmoniformes, Salmonidae. The transcript is spliced from 3 exons.
UCUUUGGCUCUCUGCACAGCAUCGCUAGAGGGGUUUCUGAUCUGGGGGGAGGACUUGGUGUUGAUCUUGUCGUAAAGCUGAAACAACACGACACACAACACUGAACAACAAUGAAUGGCUCAUGGUGAAUCAUUUCAAUGGCUGAAUGAUACAUUUUGUUCCUUCUCUCUGUACUCAGAAUGACCGGUUGUCUUUAGUGCCAGGCCCUCGUCAAUGUGGACAAUUGCUUGCUUUCAUUUAAGCAUUACAGAAGAUUUACAAGGCCCAUCCCUCCCCCCAUGUCAUCGUUGGCCAGCCAGCGUUUACGGUGAGACGCCUCCUGAGUAUUUAACCACGGGGCAGGGGUUUCCAGUACCUGGUUGACUGGAAGGGUUCUGGCCCGGAGGAGAGGUGUUGGGUUCCUGCUAAAGACAUCCUGGACCUGGUCCUCAUCUCCGGUUUUCACCGCCGACACCCCGGUCUGCCAGUCCUCACAUUUUUUACCCUUGGCUGUUUCUGGACUCUACCCACCUGCCUGACGUUUCUGCCUGCCAUGACCUCGAGCUUGCCUGCCACACUGUACCUGCUGGACUCUGAACUGGUUUUGACCUUUUACCUGUCCACGACCAUUCUCUUGCCUACCAUUUUGGAAUAUAAUAUAUAUCAAAGACUCAAACCAUCUGCCACCUGUGUCUGGCCUUGUGCUCUUAUAAGGUGAGCGAGUGUCGGAGAUCUUAGGUUGGCAAGGGGAGAAAUGUCACCUUGGACAAUUUCAUAACUUCACAAGGGGGGCAUUGAGUUCUCAAUAUUAGUCAGGUACAUCAGAAGAUCAUCAGCAAAUAAGUUUAGAUGUAUGUUUAGUUUAUAUGUUUAUUGACACUUGUUAUGUUUAUUUUUAAAAUUUAACUAGGCAAGCCAGUUAAGAACAAAUUCUUAUUUACAAUGUCGUAGCUGAAUCAGAAUUAGUUCGGUAACAUAGAUAAAUAAGAUGUUUUAUUUACUUUCAUAAUAUGCUUAUGUGAGAUACUUGUCAUUAGAAUGUCUCUUUUUGGACUAUACUGUUGGCAGUUGCAUUUUCCUUUCUUCUCUAGUGAAAAGUCACUUGGAGCCCAGAGCGGGGAGAGGUCAGGCUUGUCUUUUACAUGUCUGGUAAUAUGCAGAAUAUCAGAAUGGAACAUUGUCUUCAUAUGUGAACAGGUUUGAACAUUGUCUUCAUAUGUGAAUGUAUCUGUUGAACCCUGUGAAGGGCUCCACAAUGUCUGUACGCCAGUCACCCUCCUUUUCCCAUUGGGGGGAGGAGUAUGACAGUGUCUGGAACCAUUGUGUUACACCUCUGAUGUUGAACUUAUCUUGACCUAGUAUAUGACCUAGAGGCUCACUCCCCUCAGUGAGCUUGUCCAGGAGGGUGUGUAUUUGAGAUGGGAGAAUCUAAAGUUGAAAAUUGAUAUACGCCAUUGGAUGAGGUAAUGUUUUGGUACUAUAAAGUACCAAGAACGAGAAGUAGAACCUCGUCAUACAGAGCAAACUGAACGAUAAUUUAUAGCUUAUGCUAUCUGGCUAUGGGAUACUACUCUCCCAAGUAAAAGGCCCUUUGUGAAGUUUCUGAGAUCUGUGGUUCGUCAUGUAUAAUUCUGAAAUCUGUCUAUUUAAUUCUGAAAGCGGUUCAAUUGCCAGUGCAAACAGGAGAGGGGAGAGAACAUCCCUGUCUUGUGCCCCUUUCUGAAGCAGAUUCAUCACAUAUAUUACACAUGUAUUAUUUGUGUGAAUAUUUGCUUUAGGAUAUUUAUAUAAUAUUUUUUAAAUGAUUAGGCCAUUACUACUGAAUAGUGUUUGUUCCAGGUGCAUAGGACCCGCACACUGUCGCAAAAAGGAAUAAACCCAAAACGUAUAGUUUUAUGAAAUGUAUUAUUUUGGCUGGAAAGUUGAAGACUUCCAAAUUUGGAGAAAAAAAACAUUCAAGAUGAUCAAAAGCCUUUUCUGCAUCAACAGCCCUUUUAAAUAAGUCUACAUCUUGUUUUUUAGUAUAAUGUAUUAUACAGAAACUUGUAUUUGUUUGUGUCUAUUUUUAAUUAACUAUGUUCUAUUUAAUAUGAAUCAAUUCUGGUAAUACUUUUGACAUUCUGUUUAUGAGUUUUGUUAUUUUAUUGUUGCUAUUUAUUAAACUGAAGGGUCUGUAAUAUGCAGGGGACUCAAGAUUUUCCUGGUUUUAAUAUAACUGAGAUAAAUGUUUGAUACAUGGAACUAGGACGCGUUGAAUUGAGUGACGUGUGUUGUCAUUUGAGUAAAUAGGGUUGCGACUUUGUCCCAGAAGGAUUAACAAAGUUCUAUGGGGAAGCCAUAUCUGGUACUUUUCUCCGCACAAAUAUUUUGAGUGUCUAAUAUUUUUUCUGCUGAUAAUUGCUUCAGGA